RNAcentral lists this ribosomal RNA (301 nucleotides) under uncultured bacterium. RNAcentral describes it as "partial 16S ribosomal RNA". It matches the Rfam family "Bacterial small subunit ribosomal RNA", at positions 509 to 807 of the family's 1533-position model. The record is from RNAcentral.
CAGUCGCCGCGGGAAUACGAAGGGUGCAAGCGUUAAUCGGAAUUACUGGGCGUAAAGCGUGCGUAGGCGGUUUGUUAAGUCUGUUGUGAAAUCCCCGGGCUCAACCUGGGAAUAGCAAUGGAUACUGGCAAGCUAGAGUGUGUCAGAGGAUGGUGGAAUUCCCGGUGUAGCGGUGAAAUGCGUAGAGAUCGGGAGGAACAUCAGUGGCGAAGGCGGCCAUCUGGGACAACACUGACGCUGAGGCACGAAAGCGUGGGGAGCAAACAGGAUUAGAUACCCCGGUAGUCCCUGUCUCUUAUAC